UACAGAGGUCUCAAGCGUUGUUCGGAUUCAUUGGGCGUAAAGGGUGCGUAGGCGGCGCGGUAAGUCGGGUGUGAAAUCUCGGAGCUUAACUCCGAAACUGCAUUCGAUACUGCCGUGCUUGAGGACUGGAGAGGAGACUGGAAUUUACGGUGUAGCGGUGAAAUGCGUAGAUAUCGUAAGGAAGACCAGUGGCGAAGGCGGGUCUCUGGACAGUUCCUGACACUGAGACACGAAG
This 235-nucleotide ribosomal RNA is filed under the name uncultured bacterium. RNAcentral's name for it is "partial 16S ribosomal RNA". It matches the Rfam family "Bacterial small subunit ribosomal RNA", at positions 524 to 758 of the family's 1533-position model. The record is from RNAcentral.